UCCGUAGGGUGACCUGCGGAGGGAUCAUUACACAAAUAUGAAGGCGGGCUGGAACCUCUCGGGGUUACAGCCUUGCUGAAUUAUUCACCCUUGUCUUUUGCGUACUUCUUGUUUCCUUGGUGGGUUCGCCCACCACUAGGACAAACAUAAACCUUUUGUAAUUGCAAUCAGCGUCAGUAACAAAUUAAUAAUUACAACUUUCAACAACGGAUCUCUUGGUUCUGGCAUCGAUGAAGAACGCAGCGAAAUGCGAUAAGUAGUGUGAAUUGCAGAAUUCAGUGAAUCAUCGAAUCUUUGAACGCACAUUGCGCCCUUUGGUAUUCCAAAGGGCAUGCCUGUUCGAGCGUCAUUUGUACCCUCAAGCUUUGCUUGGUGUUGGGCGUCUUGUCUCUAGCUUUGCUGGAGACUCGCCUUAAAGUAAUUGGCAGCCGGCCUACUGGUUUCGGAGCGCAGCACAAGUCGCACUCUCUAUCAGCAAAGGUCUAGCAUCCAUUAAGCCUUUUUUUCAACUUUUGACCUCGGAUCAGGUAGGGAUACCCGCUGAACUUAAGCAUAUCAAAAGCGGGAGGAA
Molecule: ribosomal RNA, 571 nt
Filed under: Alternaria alternata
Lineage: Eukaryota; Fungi; Ascomycota; Dothideomycetes; Pleosporales; Pleosporaceae
Description: eukaryotic LSU rRNA
Rfam family: 5.8S ribosomal RNA (bases 196-349)
Source: RNAcentral